UAGGGAAUCUUCGGCAAUGGACGAAAGUCUGACCGAGCAACGCCGCGUGAGUGAAGAAGGUUUUCGGAUCGUAAAACUCUGUUGGUAGAGAAGAACGUUGGUGAGAGUGGAAAGCUCAUCAAGUGACGGUAACUACCCAGAAAGGGACGGCCAACUACGUGCC
This 163-nucleotide ribosomal RNA is filed under the name uncultured bacterium. RNAcentral's name for it is "partial 16S ribosomal RNA". It matches the Rfam family "Bacterial small subunit ribosomal RNA", at positions 355 to 509 of the family's 1533-position model. The record is from RNAcentral.